Long non-coding RNA from Lutra lutra (Eurasian river otter), 500 nucleotides. RefSeq lists it as uncharacterized. The transcript has 3 exons. NCBI's taxonomy places the organism in Eukaryota, Metazoa, Chordata, Mammalia, Carnivora, Mustelidae. The record is from RefSeq and is a predicted model, not a curated record.
AAUUUGAUCGAGGAGUUCACGGAGUCUCUUUUGAGAAUCUGUCAGUCAGAAUAACACAAUUGCAAUUUCGAAUCGAAUAGUAAGGCUCAGGCAAAAUGGCUGGUUCUCUGUGAACGAGUACAUCAGGCUUUAGCUACGGCUUAUGGAAGCCGAGAGAAGAGCGUCGUGACAAAUCCUGAGAAUCUAACUGCUCUCCGUGAAGGCAAUGGAUGAAUCGUCUCUCGGCAGGCGGCUGUUUCCAGAACAAACCAACCUCUCCCGGUCUGCACAGAGUCAGGUUCCAGAGGAGUAGAAGCUAAGCCUUCACAUGAAGCCCCAGCUAAAGAUGAGAAGAAACUUCUCUGAGGAAUCUGGGCAGCCCAAGAGGAAGGGAGACUGACAUUGCAAUUCCCCACUGAAAAGGCCUCAAUAUCAGUGGAACAGAAUAGAAAACCCAGAAAUAAACCCAUGACUAUAUGGUCAAUUAAUUCUUGGCAAAGCAAGAAAGAAUAUUCAAUGGC